UACAGAGGUCUCGAGCGUUAGGCGGAAUCACUGGGCUUAAAGCGUGUGUAGGCGGACGUCUAAGUGCCUUGUGAAAUCCCACGGCUUAACCGUGGAACUGCUGGGCAUACUGGACGUCUUGAGCCACCUAGGGGCUACUGGAACAAAUGGUGGAGCGGUGAAAUGCGUAGAUAUCAUUUGGAACGCCAAUGGUGAAAACAGGUAGCUGGGGGUGUGCUGACGCUGAGACACGAAAGCCAGGGGAGCGAACGGG
This 253-nucleotide ribosomal RNA is filed under the name uncultured bacterium. RNAcentral's name for it is "partial 16S ribosomal RNA". It matches the Rfam family "Bacterial small subunit ribosomal RNA", at positions 524 to 776 of the family's 1533-position model. The record is from RNAcentral.